UACGGGGGGGGGCAAGCGUUGUUCGGAAUUACUGGGCGUAAAGGGCUCGUAGGCGGCCAACUAAGUCGGAUGUGAAAUCCCCAGGCUUAACCUGGGAACUGCAUCCGAUACUGGAUGGCUUGAAUCCGGGAGAGGGAUGCGGAAUUCCAGGUGUAGCGGUGAAAUGCGCAGAUAUCGGGAGGAACACCGGUGGCGAAGGCGGUUCUCUGGGCCUUACCUGACGCUGAGGAGCGAAAGCGUGGGGAGCGAACAGG
This 254-nucleotide ribosomal RNA is filed under the name uncultured bacterium. Its description in RNAcentral is "partial 16S ribosomal RNA". It matches the Rfam family "Bacterial small subunit ribosomal RNA", at positions 524 to 776 of the family's 1533-position model. The record is from RNAcentral.